RNAcentral lists this ribosomal RNA (305 nucleotides) under uncultured bacterium. RNAcentral describes it as "bacterial SSU rRNA". It matches the Rfam family "Bacterial small subunit ribosomal RNA", at positions 337 to 657 of the family's 1533-position model. The record is from RNAcentral.
UCCUACGGGGGGCAGCAGUGGGGGAUAUUGCACAAUGGGGGGAACCCUGAUGCAGCGACGCCGCGUGAGUGAAGAAGUAAUUCGUUAUGUAAAGCUCUAUCAGCAGGGAAGAAUAAAUGACGGUACCUGAGUAAGAAGCCCCGGCUAACUACGUGCCAGCAGCCGCGGUAAUACGUAGGGGGCAAGCGUUAUCCGGAUUUACUGGGUGUAAAGGGAGCGUAGACGGCAGCACAAGUCUGGAGUGAAAUCCCGGGGCUUAACCCCGGAACUGCUUUGGAAACUGUGCGGCUGGAGUGCAGGAGGGG